This is a non-coding RNA of Podarcis lilfordi (Lilford's wall lizard), 87 nucleotides long. NCBI's taxonomy places the organism in Eukaryota, Metazoa, Chordata, Lepidosauria, Squamata, Lacertidae. The record is from the annotation of a GenBank genome assembly.
GGAGAAGCUCUGUAGUUCAGUGGCAGAGCAUCUGCUUUGCACGCAGUGGCACUUGGAAGGUCCCAGGUUCAGUCCCUGGCAUCUCCA